This 465-nucleotide ribosomal RNA is filed under the name Salmonella enterica subsp. enterica serovar Saintpaul. RNAcentral describes it as "bacterial LSU rRNA". It matches the Rfam family "Bacterial large subunit ribosomal RNA", at positions 140 to 641 of the family's 2925-position model. The record is from RNAcentral. Lineage: Bacteria; Pseudomonadati; Pseudomonadota; Gammaproteobacteria; Enterobacterales; Enterobacteriaceae.
UCGUCACACUAUCAUUAACUGAAUCCAUAGGUUAAUGAGGCGAACCGGGGGAACUGAAACAUCUAAGUACCCCGAGGAAAAGAAAUCAACCGAGAUUCCCCCAGUAGCGGCGAGCGAACGGGGAGGAGCCCAGAGCCUGAAUCAGCAUGUGUGUUAGUGGAAGCGUCUGGAAAGGCGCGCGAUACAGGGUGACAGCCCCGUACACAAAAGCGCAUGUGCUGUGAGCUCGAUGAGUAGGGCGGGACACGUGGUAUCCUGUCUGAAUAUGGGGGGACCAUCCUCCAAGGCUAAAUACUCCUGACUGACCGAUAGUGAACCAGUACCGUGAGGGAAAGGCGAAAAGAACCCCGGCGAGGGGAGUGAAAAAGAACCUGAAACCGUGUACGUACAAGCAGUGGGAGCACAGGUUUACCUGUGUGACUGCGUACCUUUUGUAUAAUGGGUCAGCGACUUAUAUUCUGUAGC